RNAcentral lists this ribosomal RNA (1067 nucleotides) under Francisella tularensis. Its description in RNAcentral is "bacterial SSU rRNA". It matches the Rfam family "Bacterial small subunit ribosomal RNA", at positions 193 to 1244 of the family's 1533-position model. The record is from RNAcentral. Lineage: Bacteria; Pseudomonadati; Pseudomonadota; Gammaproteobacteria; Thiotrichales; Francisellaceae.
UCUGUGGAUUAAAGGUGGCUUUCGGGCUGUCGCAGAUGGAUGAGCCUGCGUUGGAUUAGCUAGUUGGUGGGGUAAGGGCCCACCAAGGCUACGAUCCAUAGCUGAUUUGAGAGGAUGAUCAGCCACAUUGGGACUGAGACACGGCCCAAACUCCUACGGGAGGCAGCAGUGGGGAAUAUUGGACAAUGGGGGCAACCCUGAUCCAGCAAUGCCAUGUGUGUGAAGAAGGCCCUAGGGUUGUAAAGCACUUUAGUUGGGGAGGAAAGCCUCAAGGUUAAUAGCCUUGGGGGAGGACGUUACCCAAAGAAUAAGCACCGGCUAACUCCGUGCCAGCAGCCGCGGUAAUACGGGGGGUGCAAGCGUUAAUCGGAAUUACUGGGCGUAAAGGGUCUGUAGGUGGUUUGUUAAGUCAGAUGUGAAAGCCCAGGGCUCAACCUUGGAACUGCAUUUGAUACUGGCAAACUAGAGUACGGUAGAGGAAUGGGGAAUUUCUGGUGUAGCGGUGAAAUGCGUAGAGAUCAGAAGGAACACCAAUGGCGAAGGCAACAUUCUGGACCGAUACUGACACUGAGGGACGAAAGCGUGGGGAUCAAACAGGAUUAGAUACCCUGGUAGUCCACGCUGUAAACGAUGAGUACUAGCUGUUGGAGUCGGUGUAAAGGCUCUAGUGGCGCAGCUAACGCGAUAAGUACUCCGCCUGGGGACUACGGCCGCAAGGCUAAAACUCAAAGGAAUUGACGGGGACCCGCACAAGCGGUGGAGCAUGUGGUUUAAUUCGAUGCAACGCGAAGAACCUUACCUGGUCUUGACAUCCUGCGAACUUUCUAGAGAUAGAUUGGUGCCUUCGGGAACGCAGUGACAGGUGCUGCACGGCUGUCGUCAGCUCGUGUUGUGAAAUGUUGGGUUAAGUCCCGCAACGAGCGCAACCCCUAUUGAUAGUUACCAUCAUUAAGUUGGGUACUCUAUUGAGACUGCCGCUGACAAGGCGGAGGAAGGUGGGGACGACGUCAAGUCAUCAUGGCCCUUACGACCAGGGCUACACACGUGCUACAAUGGGUAUUACAGAG